Molecule: long non-coding RNA, 333 nt
Organism: Pipistrellus kuhlii (Kuhl's pipistrelle)
Lineage: Eukaryota; Metazoa; Chordata; Mammalia; Chiroptera; Vespertilionidae
Exons: 2
Source: RefSeq, a predicted model, not a curated record
CCUAAGGGCCCAAGGGAUUUUUCCAGAGGCCACAUGUCAUAGGAUAAUACCAUCAUUCUCACAACUAAUGAAAGUGACAGAAUCACAGUAUCCUCUGUCAUCUACCGGAGUUAACCGACAGAGAUGAGGAUAGAAGGGUGACCUCCAUUUAUUUCCUGUUUUUCUUCAUGGGCUGAAUCCUGAGGGACCUCCAGGAGCCAUCUCCAGCCCCCUGGCCUGAAGGAAGAGCUGAAAUAAUUUCCACAGAAAUCUCAUGUCUUAGAAACAAGGAAAUGAUGCCUAUUAUAGUGCAAUUAAGAAUCUUUACCAAAAUAAAAUUAAUGACACUCAAAA